Molecule: transfer RNA, 59 nt
Filed under: Camelus bactrianus (Bactrian camel)
Lineage: Eukaryota; Metazoa; Chordata; Mammalia; Artiodactyla; Camelidae
Also listed under: 2 other names
Rfam family: tRNA
About the family: Transfer RNA (tRNA) molecules are approximately 80 nucleotides in length.
Source: Rfam by way of RNAcentral
AUAGCUCAGUGGUAGAGCACGUGCUUAGCAUGCACAAGGUCCUGGGUUCAAUCCCCAAU